This 491-nucleotide ribosomal RNA is filed under the name uncultured bacterium. RNAcentral describes it as "partial 16S ribosomal RNA". It matches the Rfam family "Bacterial small subunit ribosomal RNA", at positions 29 to 506 of the family's 1533-position model. The record is from RNAcentral.
AGUGAACGCUGGCGGUAGGCCUAACACAUGCAAGUCGAACGGCAGCACAGUAAGAGCUUGCUCUUACGGGUGGCGAGUGGCGGACGGGUGAGGAAUACAUCGGAAUCUACUUUUUCGUGGGGGCUAACGUAGGGAAACUUACGCUAAUACCGCAUACGACCUACGGGUGAAAGCAGGGGAUCUUCUGACCUUGCGCGAUUGAAUGAGCCGAUGUCGGAUUAGCUAGUUGGCGGGGUAAAGGCCCACCAAGGCGACGAUCCGUAGCUGGUCUGAGAGGAUGAUCAGCCACACUGGAAAUGAGACACGGUCCAGAAUCCGAAGGGAGGCAGCAGUGGGGAAUAUUGGACAAGGGGCGGAAGCCUGAUCCAGCCAUACCGCGUGGGUGAAGAAGGCCUUCGGGUUGUAAAGCCCUUUUGUUGGGAAAGAAAAGCAGCAGGUUAAUACCGCGCUGUUCUGACGGUACCCAAAGAAUAAGCACCGGCUAACUUCGU